AAGGAGCAUCUGCGGAUCGGGCUUGCCUGGUUCGGAGGCCACGCGGUCGGCGAACGAUCGACCGGUGGAGCUCAAUAUUGUGGAUGCUGGCUAAUGCAUGAAUCGGGAUUGCCGACCGAGUUAGUACUGCUCGCGAGAGCGUGGAAGGGUCGGUCGGGGGUUUCGAGAAUUGUUCGGUACGCUGUUGGGUCCUGAGAGAACACGUGAGUGUCUUUCAGUGAUCGGGGCUUCCCCGUCAUGCGAACCACUGCCCGAGAUACUGGGUGGCAGGCGUUGACAGUAGUGGGAGGUCGUCGGUUUGUUCUUUGAGAACUGCACAGUGGAUGCGAGCAUCUUUGU
Molecule: unclassified non-coding RNA, 339 nt
Filed under: Actinosynnema pretiosum subsp. auranticum
Lineage: Bacteria; Bacillati; Actinomycetota; Actinomycetes; Pseudonocardiales; Pseudonocardiaceae
Source: RNAcentral